GAUGAACGCUAGCUACAGGCUUAACACAUGCAAGUCGAGGGGCAGCAUAAUCGAAGCUUGCUUUGAUUGAUGGCGACCGGCGCACGGGUGAGUAACGCGUAUCCAACCUUCCCCCUGGUAGGGCAUAGCCCGUAGAAAUGCGGAUUAACACCCUAUGUUGUGCUUUGAGGACAUCUGAGGAGCACUAAAGUUUGACGCCAUGGGAUGGGGAUGCGUCCGAUUAGCUUGACGGCGGGGUAACGGCCCACCGUGGCUACGAUCGGUAGGGGUUCUGAGAGGAAGGUCCCCCACACUGGAACUGAGACACGGUCCAGACUCC
Molecule: ribosomal RNA, 319 nt
Filed under: uncultured Prevotella sp.
Lineage: Bacteria; Pseudomonadati; Bacteroidota; Bacteroidia; Bacteroidales; Prevotellaceae
Description: bacterial SSU rRNA
Rfam family: Bacterial small subunit ribosomal RNA
Source: RNAcentral